This 68-nucleotide transfer RNA is filed under the name Lyciasalamandra flavimembris. RNAcentral describes it as "tRNA-Thr". It matches the Rfam family "tRNA". From Rfam's summary of the family: Transfer RNA (tRNA) molecules are approximately 80 nucleotides in length. The record is from RNAcentral. Lineage: Eukaryota; Metazoa; Chordata; Amphibia; Caudata; Salamandridae.
ACUCAGGUAGUUUAAAUAAAACAUCGGUCUUGUAAGCCAAAACUGAAGAUUAAAACCUUCCCUGAGUU